RNAcentral lists this ribosomal RNA (273 nucleotides) under uncultured bacterium. RNAcentral describes it as "partial 16S ribosomal RNA". It matches the Rfam family "Bacterial small subunit ribosomal RNA", at positions 524 to 796 of the family's 1533-position model. The record is from RNAcentral.
GACAGAGGGUGCAAGCGUUGUUCGGAAUCAUUGGGCGUAAAGGGCGCGUAGGCGGCUUGGUAAGUCGGAUGUGAAAGCCCAGGGCUCAACCUUGGAAGUGCAUCCGAAACUACUGAGCUCGAAUCCCGGAGAGGGUGGUGGAAUUCCCAGUGUAGAGGUGAAAUUCGUAGAUAUUGGGAGGAACACCGGUGGCGAAGGCGACCGCCUGGACGGAGAUUGACGCUGAGGCGCGAGAGCGUGGGGAGCAAACAGGAUUAGAUACCCCAGUAGUCC